UAAAAGAAAAAAAAAAUCAAUUUCAUCUCUCUUUCAUCUCACUUCCAAAGUUUGUCAACAAAAAGAAAAUAAAAAGAGAAAAACAAAGAAAGAGAUAGUGUGAGAAUGUAGGUUCGGAUCAGCCACAAAUCAGGAGAAAGUGUGAUUUUGUUUAAGCUUCAUAACUCUUGGGGAGAAGAAGAAGGAUAUCAUAAAUCAAAGGUAUUUUAAAAGAAGUUAAAAUAAAUUGCAUAACAGUAAUUGCCAAUCAAGGUAUGUUUCCUUAACUCAAACUCGAGUUAUUAUCUUUCAAGCAUGUUAGUGGAUAAUUAUUGCUGGUUAUUCACAUCCAUAAUGAUUAUUGUUAUUCGUACAUAGUGCAAUUGAUUCAUGUUCUAUUAUUUGAACUGUAUACGAGCCAUGUCUCAGUUAUUUGUUUUGGUAAGACUAAUAUUUGUUAAAGCAUGAAACGUUCUAUUUAUUAUGAACUGAUUUAUUAUUAGAAGAUCUAUGUCAUUUAUUUCGGCUAGAUUAAUAUGGAUAUUAUAUGUUGAAAUCAUAGUAUUUCUUUAAAAGCAAUCCAAACGAUAUUGUUGUGGUACAUACUCAUGAUUUAAGACUGAGAAAAUGAACAACCCUUAUAAAAAGGGGAACUUUAUCGUCGGACAUCUGACACUUGUGCUAUUUUUGAGUAUUAUGCAUAAUAUAGAGUACAAUGAGGCUGAUCACUUCAUGUACUCGCAAAAGAGUAUGAUUUAAUCUUUAUGGUUAACUGAUACUCUUGAGGUAAUUCAAUAUUAAUUAACUGAUAAUUCCUCUAUUAGUUCUUGAUCCAUUUGUGAUCACUCAGCAUGAAAUCUGGGAAUAUUUUACUUUAAUGAAUAUUGUUUCAUUAUUGCUAAUUGUUCCUAAUCAAAUGAAUAUUAUUGAAUCUUCAAACGAAUUUAAUUUUUUCAUUCUUGAAAUGUUAUUUAUUCUGGAAUUUAAGAAAAUUUUUGUUCUUGAAAAUGAUUUAUUGUUCAGCUACUUUGAAAUCUUUUGAACAUUGUUGACAAUAUAGAAAGUAUAAGACCCCAACUUUUAUGAAUAAAGAUUAAUUUUCUCUAAAUAUCAUUUUGAAUAUUAUGGUGUGGAUUUGAUAUUAUGUUAUAGUUGUGAGUAAUAUUUAUAAAUUUUGCAAAGUAAGCAAGUUGUCAUAAAAUAUUCGAUUGGUUGGGAAAUAUUCGUUUUAUCAGGGAAUAUUCGUACGACGGCUCAAUCAUUGGUGGACCCCACAACAAAAUUAUUGUCUAAGUCAGAAAAUGACAUAAAUAACUUUUUAUAAAAAUAACGGCGAAAUUUUUACGUUAACUGUUGAAAUACCCGGUGAUAAAAGUACAGUAAUACGCGUGGUUGUAUAGUAGCACACAAUAUUUGAUGCUUGCGUGAGAAGUCACUCAGUUAUACUCAAUUAUUGCUACAGUAAUUGCUGAUAGUAUCUCACAUUAUUGAUUUAAUUAUUGUCACAAUAUCAUCUGCACAAUAUUUUAUAUUAUUAAAUCAAUAAUUGAGAUGACAAAGUUAUUCAUAUUAUUAUUUGUAAUAUUGACAAUGUCUAGAAAGUUAUGUCGAGGAAAGGGGUUUGGUCACCUAAUUCCGCGCCAAUAGGGAGAAAUCCUUAUCGGAAAGCCUCCUCUUUCAUGGAAAUGAUCUGGUUGUUAAUAUUGUGAGUUAUAAUAUUAAUGAUGAAUGUUAUUAAAAAUAUGUUUUGAGAAGCCAAGUGAAUUGAGAUAAAUAGAGGGGGUUUUAUUGAAGUAUUUUUUUGUACAUUUGGCCUAUUAUAUGGACCCCACUUACCCAUUUUCAAAAUAUCCGGGAGAAGUUAUCUCAAUUUUGUUAUAUAUAUAUAUAUAUAUAUAUAUNNNNNNNNNNNNNNNNNNNNNNNNNNNNNNNNNNNNNNNNNNNNNNNNNNNNNNNNNNNNNNNNNNNNNNNNNNNNNNNNNNNNNNNNNNNNNNNNNNNNUAUUAGUAAUAUAUUAUUAUUAUUGUUAUUGUUGUUAUUAUUAGUAUGAUUAUUAUUAUUAUUAUUAUAUAUAUAUAUAUAUAUAUAUAUAUAUAUUAUAAUAAGUUUUGUUUUUUUUUAUGAAAAAUAGAAUAUAUUAUAUUUUAUUAUGCAUAGUAUGUGCAUAGUGUCUACAUAGUGUUUGCACAAUAAAUCAGAAAAAUCAAAAAUUCAGUCGGCGAAUUCGCGCCCAUGAGAAAAAUCCUGUUCACCCGUGAAUUAGUUUCAAAUACUAUCAUUCCAUUAUCCUAUAAAUAGGAUGCUUAGCUUAGAAUUGAAAAUCACAUAAGAAUCAGAGAAUUCUUCUUCUAUAAUAUUGAAUGUAUUUCUUUAGAGUUUAAGGAAGCUUUGACUGUAAAAAAUAGUGUAAGUUUUCUUCAAGAAUAUAUCCGCUAUACUAGUCCAUACCAAUCAGAAAUACUCUCCUUUUAAGGUAAGGGAUAUUAUUUUUGUUUAAUAUUCGUAUGAAAUAAUAUUUUCUUCCAUACUCUGUAGUAUGUAAGUAAUAUUGUUUCGUCUGAGAUUCCAAAUUCGACACUCAUUUUGUUAAGUAUUUUACUAUACUCCUUGAAAUUAGUAGAAUAUCCUUGAAAUUUGCGCUUCAUCUAAUAUCUUUUCACGAAAUAUUAUUAUGAACAUUCUUGAUAAUUCUUAGUCUUUUCAUGUCGGGGUACUAUUUCACGAGGUAUUAUUCUCGAAGUACUAUUCACUCAGUUACUAUUCACCCAGGGUACUAUUCAUGACAAACAAUUGAUUUCUUUUCUGUCAAAAUCAUUUUUGAUACAAUAUUAUUCUUGAAUUUUACUCCACAAAGCAGUAUCAUGUUGACAAUUUGGACAUUAUUGAAUUCUGGAUUAAUUGAAUUAUAAAUCUUUAAAAUUUAUCCUUGCUUUCAUUUAAUUGAAUUCUUAUAUCAUUGUCAUCAUCCUCAUGCUUAUAUUGUGAUGAAAGUCAUCUUUGACCCGUAGUGCAUAGAUGGACUAUUGAUUGGUACGAUUAUGACUAGGAAUUAUUCGGUAUAAUCAUGACCUGUAAUGUUACAAAUGAUGUGGUAAAAGUCCUCAUUGGCCCGUAGUGCAUUGAUGGAAAGUUGUUGGCAUGAUCAUGACCAUUGGUGAUAACAUGAAUAUCCUUGGCCCGUAAUGCAUGGAUAAUUCGUGGAUGUGAUGCUAAUAAAUAUCCUUGGCCCGUAUUGCAUGGACAAUUCAGUGAUGUGGAUUAUUUAUUAAGCUGAGUCUCAGCGAUAAAAUUGAUGAUAAACUUUUAAAUCAUAGAAGAUAGUAGAUAUCAUGCUCAACUUGACUCUUCUAAUGGAUUGUUUGUCCCGCUGUAGUUAAACUUAUUGUCUAUUGUAUUAUAUCAGUUUAACACUGUUGAAGGCUAACGAUAAUUUAUUUUGCAUUAUCUUAGUCAUAAUAUUUCUUACUGGGCUAGUUGAGCUCACCCUUUGCUUUCAUUGUUCUCUUCAGGAAAUGAGAACAUAGCCAGGACUAGUCGGGGAACGGAGUGAUGGUCCGAGAUGGUGGAUAUAGUAGUCCUGACUGUUCUAUGAAAUAGUAUAAUAAUAAUUGUAAUGAGGAAUUUAUUUGAGUUUGGAUACUAUCUACGAGACAAUACCCGUGUUAAAACUCUCAGCUACAUUUUUUAUAUUGUAUAAAUGAAGUUUGUAUUUAAGUUCUGUACCAUGUAUUUGGCGACUCAGAAUGGGUGAUGUAUACCUAUUUUUGGGCCGUCUCAUGCACGACUCACAAUACCCCCAAAAUUGGUAAUAGGACUUCGAAUAUGGUGAUAUAUAAUGAGAAAAAUGUAAGAAUAAACUGCUUACCCUAAGUGUAUUGACAAAUUGAUUGAUUCUCCCCUUCUGUUUUGUCGUAUUCUUCAUGAUAGUUGUAUUAAUUAAGUUUGUAUUUGAAUUAUGUACUAUGUAUUUGGCGACCCAAGAUGGGUGAUGUAUACCUAUUUUUGGGCCGUCUCAUGCACGACUCACAAUACCCCCAAAAUUGGUAAUAGGACUUCGAAUAUGGUGAUAUAUAAUGAGAAAAAUGUAAGAAUAAACUGCUUACCCUAAGUGUAUUGACAAAUUGAUUGAUUCUCCCCUUCCUUUUUGCUGGGUGUUGUAUACCUAUUUUUGGGGCGUCACAAAAAAUCUCACUUGAAGAACCCUAACUAUUGUAUGACUGAAAUUGUAUGGAAUAGGAUGGAGAUGUUGUGUAGUUAGGGUUUGAAUAUAUAGAGAUGAGAUAAUGUAUGUAUUUAGUGGGUUAAUAUUGUGGGUAAGUAGGGAGUUUGUGGCUAAUUCGUGGGUUAAUGGGGGUAUAGGAGUCGGUUGUGGGAGAAGUGGUCUAAAUGGUUGUAACUACUGAAGAGAAUCCUUUCACGUUCCCGUACCCCCGCCCCGGUGGUGGGUAAUAAGCUGCAGAUGCCCGCCCCGGUGGGGGGUAAUAAGCUGCAGAUGUCCGCCCCGGCGGGAGGGGGUAUUUUGUUCCUGGUUCAUGAUCCCUUCCUCAGCGGGGGGUAUCCUUUGNNNNNNNNNNNNNNNNNNNNNNNNNNNNNNNNNNNNNNNNNNNNNNNNNNNNNNNNNNNNNNNNNNNNNNNNNNNNNNNNNNNNNNNNNNNNNNNNNNNNNNNNNNNNNNNNNNNNNNNNNNNNNNNNNNNNNNNNNNNNNNNNNNNNNNNNNNNNNNNNNNNNNNNNNNNNNNNNNNNNNNNNNNNNNNNNNNNNNNNNNNNNNNNNNNNNNNNNNNNNNNNNNNNNNNNNNNNNNNNNNNNNNNNNNNNNNNNNNNNNNNNNNNNNNNNNNNNNNNNNNNNNNNNNNNNNNNNNNNNNNNNNNNNNNNNNNNNNNNNNNNNNNNNNNNNNNNNNNNNNNNNNNNNNNNNNNNNNNNNNNNNNNNNNNNNNNNNNNNNNNNNNNNNNNNNNNNNNNNNNNNNNNNNNNNNNNNNNNNNNNNNNNNNNNNNNNNNNNNNNNNNNNNNNNNNNNNNNNNNNNNCUGAGUCAAGACCCCCUCCACGGAGGGGGGUUCCUUCAUAAAUUAUCCGCCUCGGCGAGGGGUACACUGCAGCUGAGCUUGAUUUUUCCAUUUUUUUUCAUCCAACACAUAUCCACGAGCUUUGUAAAUGCCUCAAACAUAAUUAAAUCAUGAACAUAAGACAACAUUGUUCAAAUUAAGCAUGAAAGGUCAAAUUAUCUAGACUUAUAACUCAACUAACUACUUAAUGAGUCAAAAUAAACUUAUUCUAUACUAACUUGUAUUCUAAACUACAAAUUAAUUAGUAUACUUAACAAUACUGAAAAUGAAAGUAAAAUUGGGUUGCCUCCCAAUUAACGCUUGAUUUUAAGUCUUUCUGCCUGACUACUCCCUUUUCAUGGCGCGUCGGCAAGUGUGAUUGCGGUGACUUCAUUGUCGAUGUCUCCACCCCAGUAAUGCUUCAACCGAUGACCGUUGACUUUGAAUAUCUCCAUUGGAUUCCUAUUGUAUAACUCAAUGGAGCCAUGUGGGAAAACCUUCUUAAUUGUGAAUGGCCACGACCAUCUCGAUUUAAGCUUUCCUGGGAACAACCGUAGUCGUGAGUUGAACAAUAAUACUGCUUGUCCUGGUUCAAACUUUUUCCGCAUGAUCUUUUGGUCAUGCCACUUCUUAACCUUUUCCUUGUACAUUUGUGAGUUCUCGUAUGCUUGCAGCCGAAACUCAUCUAGUUCAUUCAGUUGGAGAAAUCUUUUCUCUCCUGCAGCUGCUUGAUAUAAAUUAAGUUUCUGAAUGGCCCAAUACGCUUUAUGUUAUAAUUCUACUGGGAGGUGACAUGCUUUCCCGUAGACCAAUUGGUACGGAGACAUCCCAAUUGGUGUUUUAUAUGCUGUCCUAUAUGCCCAUAGUGCGUUGUCCAAUUUUAGAGAUCAAUCUUUUCUACUUGGAUUCACUACUUUCUCUAAAAUCUUCUUCAACUCUCUAUUCGAAACCUCAGCUUGACCACUCGUUUAGGGGUGAUAUGCCGUAGCCACCCUAUGAUUGACCCCAUAUUUUGCCAAAAGAGUUGUAAAUGAUCUGUUGCAGAAGUGACUACCCUCAUCACUGAUAAUUGCUCUUGGCGUGCCAAAUCUUGUAAAGAUAUUCUUAUGUGAGAAUUUGAGAACCACUUUGGCAUCGUUUGUGGGGAGUGCUACGGCUUCAACCCAUUUCGACACAUAAUCCACAACUAGCAAGAUGUGCAGGUUGUUGAAAUAUGGAGGAAACAGUCCCAUAAAAUCUAUCCCCCAUACGUCAAAAAUUUCGACUUCCAUGGUAGUGUGUAGCGGCAUUUCAUUCCUCUUUGAAAUAUUGCCCACCCUUUGGCAUCUAUCACAAGUUUUCACAAAUUGGUGGGCAUCCUUGAACACCGUAGGCCAAUAAAAUCCUGCUUGUAGUACUUUAGCUGAUGUCCGCUCACUACCAUAAUGUCCCCUAUAAUGUCCCCCAUAGCUGAACACCGUUGGCAUAAUCAUGACCAUUGGUGAAAAUACGAAUAUCCUUGGCUCAUAGUGCAUGGAUAAUUUGUGGUCGUGAUACUAAUGAAUAUCCUUGGCCUGUAGUGCAGGGAUGAUUCAAUGAUGUUGUUUAUUUAUUAAGCUGAGUCUCAGCGAUAAAAUUAGUGAUAAACUUUUUAAAUCAUAGAAGAUUGUAGAUAUCGUGCUCUACUUGACUCUUCUAAUGGAUUGCUUGUUACACUGCAGUUAAACUUGAUGUUUAUUAUAUUUUAUCAGUUUAACACUGUUGAAGGCUAACUAUAAUUUAUUCUGCAUUAUCUUAGUCAUAAUAUUUCUUACUGGGCUAGUUGAGCUCACCCUUUUGCUUUCAUUGUUCUCUUCAGGAAAUAAGAACAUAGCCGUGACUAGUCGGGGAACGGAGUGAUGUUCUGAGAUGGUUGUUUAAGUAGACCUCACUAUUGAGUGUGAUAAUAAAUGUAAUGAGGAUUGAAUUUGAGUUUGGAUAUUGUCUAUGAGACAAUAUUCGUGUAAAAAAUUAGCUAUGUUUUGUCGUAUUCUUCACGACAGUUGUAUUAAUUAAUUUUGUAUUUGAAUUCUGUACCAUGUAUUUGGCGACCCAAGACAGGUGAUAUAUACCUAUUUUGGGGCGUCACAGUUGGUAUCAAAGCUUAGGUAUAUGAUCCCUGGCUAAGGUGUGAGACUAGAACUAGGGGGAGAGACGGGGAAAUCCUUCUCUAGUAUGACCUACCUAAGUUUAUUUGUUAUUUAAUUGGUCGGCCAGAAUAUAAGGAUAAUAUGUGGUAUAUCAAUUAACCCUUGUUUGUUGGCAGUAUUUGAAAAUGACAUCCGAGAAUGUUGAGAAAAGCAAUGGAGCACAUGAGACUGUUGAGUCACCAACAAUCAAUACCCAGGAUAAUGUGCAUCAAGAAGGCAAUAAUCCUUAGGAAAACAACAACACCAACCAAAUGAUGAAUGAUGGGAUGUUCAGAGGCUUUAUGCAAUUCAUACAACAUCAGGUGAGAACGACUCCUGUUCAAAAUGCAGGUGGAAACACUGGCAAAUCUCGAAUGGUCACCGCUAAGCAGUUCAAGGAGCUGGGACCACCAGAGUUUUUGGGAGAGCCAAAACCACUUAAGGCGGAGACGUGGAUAAAGCAGAUCACCAAGAUAUUUGAUGUCUUGGGAUGCUCCGAGGAGAAAAAGGUUCCCUUUGCCACCUUCAUGUUACGAGGAGAGGCAGAUUACUGGUGGGAAUCUAUAAAGCGUACUCAACCUGCUACACAGAAGAUGUCUUGGGAGAAGUUCCAAGAACUGUUCAACGACAAGUACUUUCCCGAAAGUAUUCGUCACAUGAAGGAGGUAGAGUUCAUCAAACUGGAGCAAAACAAUAUGACUGUGUCGCAGUACGAAGCUAAGUUUGCCGAGUUGUCCCGGUUUGCGUCCCACUUGGUUGAUAAUGAGGAGAUAAUGAUGCGGAUAUUUCUAAGAGGUUUGAAACCCGAGAUACGUCAAUACCUAAAUUCUCACAAACUUUUCUUGUAUUCAGAUGUUGUGAAUAAGGCUAAGUUAUUGGAGCGCGAUAAUGUGUCAACCCAACCAAGAUAGAGCAGCCGAAAAAAUGAUAAUACCAGUGGUAGCAAUCAUUGAAGUGGUGACAACAAACGUGAAGGGAAUCAACAUGCCAGAAAUGGUAACCACUUCGGUGGUAAUCAUGGCCAAGAUAAUAUGAGUGGAAAUUUCAAGAAAAGGAGAUUCAAAAUGAUGGAAAGACAUCAGCACCAGCACCCGUUGUUAAUGAAGGAGAACGACCACCUAUCAUAUGCUUCAAAUGCGGAGGGGAGGGACACAUCAGUCCAAAUUGCACGCAGCAGUCCAAAACAUGUUACAAUUGUGGAAGAGAAGGUCACCUAGCUCGAUUUUGUCAUGCAGUGAAGCCAAGUCUAGUUGGGAUGGUGACACUAAAUGCCCUCCCAGACAAGUCAAAACCAGUAGUUCAAGGGUGAACGUUUGUCGUGACCUCCCAGAAAGUGAGGAACCCGAAUGAGGUCAUCACGGGUAAGCUAAUCAUAAACUCUAGCGAAGUCUAUACCUUAUUUGAUACCGGUUCUACCCAUUUUUUUAUUUCUCCUACUUGCGCUCAACGUUUAAAUUUAACUCCGGAGAAAUUAGACUUUGACUUAUCUGUUGAAACUCUGUUGGGAGAAACCUUCAUUACAUCCACUGUUUAUAAGUCCUGUUUGAUUCAAAUCGGCAACCGCACGUUACCGGUCGAUCUUAUCUCUUUGAAAAUACUUGCAUUUGAUGUGAUUUUAGGGAUUGAUUGAUUAACCACUCAUCAUGCUAAAAUUGAUUAUUUUCGUAAGGUUGUUAGCUUUCAUAUUCCUAACCAACCUAUUUGCGAAUUCAAGCAACCAAACCACUAAAGUCAAUUUCUAUCAUAUCAAGCCAUAAAGCUAUUCAUUUAUUGAAAAAUGGAUGUCAAGCUUUCUUAGCCCAUGUCAUGAAUUUAAACAAAAAUACGUCAGAUUUGAAUAAUAUUUCUAUUGUUAAUAAAUUUCAUGACGUAUUCCCUGAAGAACUUCCUGGCGUACCCCCAGAGCGUGAAAUCGAGUUUGGUAUUGACCUUGAACCCGGUACAAAACCCAUUUCCAAAGCCCCAUAUCGAAUGGCCCCUAUUAAACUUAAGGAGUUAAAAACCCAACUGCAGGAAUUAUUAGACAUUGGUUUCAUUCGUCCUAGUACGUCUCCUUGGGUUGCUCCUGUUCUAUUCGUGAAGAAGAAAGAUGGGAGUAUGCGACUUUGUAUUGAUUAUCGGGAGUUGAACCAUGUGACCAUCAAAAAUAGGUACCCGUUACCUCGCAUUGAUGACAUGUUUGACCAGUUGCAAGGCGCAAAAUACUUUUCAAAGAUCGAUAUUCAUUCCGGAUAUCACCGGUUAAAGAUUAAAAUUGAUGACAUCCCAAAGACUACUUUCAGAACUUGGUACGGGCAUUACGAAUUCCUAGUCAUGUCUUUUGGAUUGACUAAUGCUCCUGCUGCCUUCAUGGAAAUGAUGAACCGAGUAUUCAAGGAAUAUUUGGAUCACUUUGUAGUCUUUUUUAUUGAUGACAUCCUCAUAUACUCCAAAACCCGUGAAGAUCAUGAGCAACACUUGAGGCUGAUACUUCAAAAGCUUCGUGAAAACAAGCUUUAUGCCAAGUUAAAGAAAUGCGAGUUUUGGCUUGAGGAAUUAGCAUUCCUUGGGCACAUGAUAUCAAAUCACAGAAUAUCUGUUGACCCAAUGAAGAUUGAAGCAAUACAAAGCUGGGAGCAACCUAAGUUAGUGAUCGAAGUACGUAGCUUUCUGGGCUUAGCUGGUUAUUAUCAGAGAUUCGUGGAAGGAUUUUCUCGAAUCGCUACUCCAUUAACUCAGUUGACUCGAAAAGAUACAAAAUUUGAUUGGAGCAAGGAAUGUGAGAAGAGUUUUUAAGAACUCAAGAGGAGACUCAUUUCAGCACAUGUUUUGACAAUACCAUCUGGUUCGGAGGGAUUUGUCAUCUACAGCGAUGCUUCAGGCAGAGGGUUAGGAUGUGUUCUCAUGCAACAUGGGAAAGUCAUAUCCUAUGCCUCACGAUAACUCAAAGAAUAUGAGGGAAUUAAUCUACUCAUGAUCUAGAGUUGGCAGCAGUCAUUUUCGCACUAAAGAUCUGGAGACAUUAUUUGUAUGGGGAGAAGGUGGAGAUCUAUACGAAUCAUAAAAGCCUCAAAUAUUUCUUCACCCAAAAGGAACUCAACAUACGACAAAGACGUUGGCUCGAGUUGUUGAAAGAUUAUGAUCAUACCAUUCAAUACCAUCCUGGAAAAGCUAACGUAGUAGCUGACGCGUUGAGUAAAAGAUCAUAUACGGGUACAAGUGCGAUAUUGUCAAUGCAAAGGCCCAUUUUAUAUGAAUUACAAAGGAUGGAGAUAGAGUUAAAGACUCCAAGGACCCACGUGAUGAUGGAAAAUAUACGAGUAGAGCCUAUUUUAAUCGAUAAAGUUAAAGUUACUCAAGCUACAGACAUGGAGCUGAUGCGUAUGAAUAAAAAGUACAAGAAUGUGCUAUUCCGGAAGCAAGAAUCGAUGAAGAAGAAAUACUUCGAGUCAACUCCAGACUUUGUGUUCCUAACGACCCUGAUUUAAAGUAUAAGAUCAUGAUGGAGGCGCACAACACACUGUUUUUAAUCCAUCCUGGGAGUACCAAAAUAUAUCGUGAUCUUCGACAUAUAUUUUGGUGGAGCAAUAUGAAGAGAGAGAUAUCAGUGUUUAUCUCAAAGUGUUUAACUUGUCAACAAGUCAAGGUAGAGCAUCAAGUACCAAAAGGUCCAUUGCAACAACUUAAAAUUCUAGAAUGGAAGUGGGAGCACAUUACCAUGGAUUUUGUUACUGGUCUUCCCAAGGUUCCUCAAGGCAUAGAUGUAAUUUGGGUCAUUGUUGAUAGAUUGACCAAGUCUGCUCAUUUCUUACCUAUACGAGAAACUUAUUCACUUGAACUUCUUGCUUGUAUAUACAUAAAUGAGAUUAUAAGAUUGCAUGGUAUUUCAGUAUCCAUAGUUUCUGAUUGAGACCCAAGAUUUACUUCACGAUUUUGGGUUAGUUUACAAAAAGAUAUGGGCACAGAUUUACGAUUCAGUUUGGCAUAUCAUCCUCAGACGGACGGACAGUAGGAGAGGACUAUUCAAACUCUUGAAGAUCUAUUAAGACUCUGUAUCCUUGACUUCAAAGGAAGUUGGGACAAGUUCUUGCCAUUAGUGGAAUUCUUAUACAAUAAUAGUUAUCAAGCAAGUAUCGGCAUUGCUCCAUUCGAGGCGUUGUAUGGAUGCAAGUGUCGUUCUCCAGUAUGCUGGGAUGAGGUGGGCGAAGCAACGUUGUUAGGACCGUAAUUCAUACGCUUAACAACGGAAAAGAUUUAAAUGAUCCGGCAACGUAUAAAAAUCUCACAAGAUCGACAAAAGAGUUAUGCUCAUCUUCAUCGAGAAGACGUGGAAUUCAAUGUUAGAGAGCAUGUGUUGUUACGUGUUGCUCCAUGGAAAGGAGCUACAAGAUUUGAAAAGAGAGGAAAGUUCAAUCCUCGAUUCAUUGGUCCAUUCUGUAACGAAUGUAUUAUUUGAGUUGUGAUUCUGAGGACAGAAUCCUUGUAAGGAGGGAAUGAUGUAACAUUCUAGAAUUUUAAAUUGUAAUAUUAAAUAGUUAUUGAAUUAUAUAAGUAUUUAAUGGAUAUGUUUAUUAUUGAAUAAAUAAUUGUUCAAUUUGAUUUGAUUUGAUUUAGUUAAUUAUUUGUUAAGUAAAUAAUUAAGGAGUUAAGAAAAUUAAUUGUUAUGAAAUAAUAUACUAAUUUAAUUUAAUAGUUAAGUUAGAGAGCUUAUAAUGAUUAAAUGAAUUAUAAUAUUUUAAUUAGAAUUUGUAAUUAAAAUAAGGUGUUAGUUGGUUAAAUAAAAUUAUAAUUCUAAAGGAAAUUAUAAUUAUGUGGUAGUGAUUUAUGUGAUAAAGUAAUUUAAUAGAUUAGUAUUAGAAUUUAUUAAAUAGAUUAUUAAAAUAUAAUUAAAUAGAAGUGUGACAAAUAACCUUGCUAUAAAGGAGUUAUUAAAAUAAAUUAAAGGAGUUUAAUUAGUUUUUGCCAAACAAGUCUUAAUGCAUAUUAAGUCUUUAAUCUAAUAAUAUUUUAUCAAACAAGGUAUAAGGAUUAAUCCAUUUAUUUUAAUUAGGUUUACCAAACAAGGUGUAAGAUUUAAAUGGUUAUUUUAUUAGUCUAGCCAAACAAGCCUUAUGACUUUUGAAUUUUAAAACUUAGAUAACUGAUAUCAGUUAUCUCUAUAUUAAUAUUAUAUAAUUAAUACAUAUAUUAUUACCUAUAUACGUUAUAUUUUACUACGUAAGAUAGAGUUAGGAGAAGAAAAACUCAAAAGAAGAAAAAGGAAGAGAAGAAGAAAAAUUGAGAGAGAAUUGAGAGAAUCUUAGAAGGUUUUGAUAAAGGAAUUUAAGGAAAGAAGUAUUGUUGAUCAAAGGAAGAAAAAUCUUCAUCUUCUAGCAUACAAGGUAUCAUCCAAACCUUUUAAAAUUCCUUAAAAUUUUGUUGUCUUCUUCUUCCGAAAAGUUCUCUGUAAAAUAUUUGUAAAAGAGUAAUUGUUGAUGUAUAUAACUUUAUAUGAUAGUUGUUGUUAUAAGAAUUGUUUUCAUAAAGUUUAUAUAUGAGUAUAGAUAAACUAAUUCAUGUAUGUAUGUAUUUUAUGAAGAAACCCAUAUUAUAGUGAGUUAUAUGAAUAUGUAUGAAUAUGACUUAGUUUAAAAUUAAAAUUAAGGUUUUAGUAGUUGUUUAAAUUAUAAAUUGACUAUGGAAUUUGAAAGAGGAUGAAUAAACAUAAACAAGGUAUUUAGAAUUAAUUGUUUUGGUUGAAAAACAAAGUUACAGUGAUAAGUUUCACUAAAAAUGUCAAAAAUAGAGUUUUUAUCAAAAACAGUGAAAUUGGGUGUUGUAAAUUUAACGUUUAUGUUAUCAUAUGAGUAAAAACAUGUUAAUAGUCUUUAAAUUAUGUUUAUAUGAAGUCUAUGUGUGUAUUACAUGUUAAUUAGUUUGUUAGAAAUGAGCUUGUAGGCCAAAUUGGCUUUUUGUUCAUGUUGUUGCCGAGGCCGGUCGCCGAAGUUUGGAGUUCGGCGCCGCAGCGCCGGCCCACAGUGUAAACUGUGGCGCCGCAGCGCGAGUUAGUAGAAUGGUCUGACAGUUUUAUUUAUUUACACAAAGUCUGAAAACAAAUGUUAUGUGUUAAUAAUAGGACUGUUAAAUUAUGAUUUCAGUAGUACUAAACUAAGAAUGAGCAUGUUAUCAAGGGUUAACUAGUAUUAGUAUUAACGUAAUUCGAUUAUGUGAAUUGAAAAUCAAACUUACAUGAUGUAUAUACUUGUUUAUAUAUAUAAAAUGUUAGUAGUGACUAAUUAUGUCAUGAUGACAUAUAUAUAGGGUAUUGAGAUUCAAGUUGUAAGGUUUAGCUUGUGCUCAAGGCAAGUUUUCUAACCCUAAAACUUCGUUGUGCAAGUUUAAUUUCGAUGAGUACGUUAUUGCUUCUAAUUCAAUUACAAUUACGCAAGUUUGCUAACUCUACACUUUUGUAGAGCUAGACUGUCUAUUAUUGAGCAAGUUUCUUUAAUAUGUAACUUGUUAUUUAACAUGCAAGUUACUGUAUUCUAAUAUCCUAGAGUUGAACAACUUUAUCAUUCAAAUUACUAUUCGUUAUGCAUGUUUAGUAUCCAAUUCUCAAUAACCUUGAUUUAAUAUUGUUCAAGCAUAUUAUGUUACGAUUAUUCAAUGUUUAUGCUAUUAGAUUAUUCCUAAAGCAUGAUAUUAAUUUACAAAUAUCGAUUCAGUUAUGAUUAUUCCAUAGAAUGCCGUUAUUUCUGUUUUAUUCAACUAAUCCUUAGUUGAUGACCGUUGAAUUCUAAAUUACCUUGUAAUGUAUCCAAACCAAACCUACUUUGGUGAGGACUUAUAUUCUAAAUACUGAGAUGAACAACUCUUUUAUUAGAGGUUUACGCUUAGCGUUGAAAUGGUUGUGCACUAUACAUUGUACGAAGGGCUGAUCCCACUAAAUACGUGGAGUCCUUAUAGUCAUAUGACUGUUAAAGUUAAAGUUGAAAGAUUACUUAUAACUGUGGACAUGGUUCGUGGUCAUUAGACCCUCAGUAGUAUGUUUCAGAAUGUUAAUAGAACAUAUCAUUCAGUUCUAUUGAGUCUAUUUCUGGCAAAUGUUGUAAUAUGGUAAAGUUAUUCAUUCUUAUUUCAAGUGAGCUUUGUUUGCUCACUCUUGCAUAUUUAUACACUUAUUGCAGCUAAGGUUGAGACGGUAAAUGAACCUACAACUAGCAAAAGAAAGG
RNAcentral lists this long non-coding RNA (14360 nucleotides) under Panax ginseng (ginseng). RNAcentral describes it as "long non-coding RNA (PGIN_LNC000312)". The record is from RNAcentral. Lineage: Eukaryota; Viridiplantae; Streptophyta; Magnoliopsida; Apiales; Araliaceae.